AUUGAACGCUGGCGGCAUGCCUAACACAUGCAAGUCGAACGGCAGCACGGCAGUAGCAAUACUGUGGGUGGCGAGUGGCGGACGGGUGAGGAAUACGUCGGAAUCUGCCCAGUCGUGGGGGAUAACUAGCCGAAAGGUUAGCUAAUACCGCAUACGACCGAGAGGUGAAAGCGGGGGACCGCAAGGCCUCGCGCGAUUGGAUGAGCCGACGUCGGAUUAGCUAGUUGGUGGGGUAAAGGCCCACCAAGGCGACGAUCCGUAGCUGGUCUGAGAGGAUGAUCAGCCACACUGGAACUGAGACACGGUCCAGACUCCUACGGGAGGCAGCAGUGGGGAAUAUUGGACAAUGGGGGGAACCCUGAUCCAGCCAUGCCGCGUGAGGGAAGAAGGUCCUCUGGAUUGUAAACCUCUUUUGGCAGGAAACAACCUGCGCUAUACGCGCAGCUGAGGGUACCUGCAGAAUAAGCACCGGCUAACUCCGUGCCAG
This 487-nucleotide ribosomal RNA is filed under the name uncultured bacterium. RNAcentral's name for it is "bacterial SSU rRNA". It matches the Rfam family "Bacterial small subunit ribosomal RNA", at positions 29 to 511 of the family's 1533-position model. The record is from RNAcentral.